GGGCGAUUAGCUCAGGUGGCUAGAGCGCACCCCUGAUAAGGGUGAGGUCGGUGGUUCGAGUCCAGCAUUGCCCAC
Molecule: transfer RNA, 75 nt
Filed under: compost metagenome
Description: tRNA-Ile
Rfam family: tRNA
About the family: Transfer RNA (tRNA) molecules are approximately 80 nucleotides in length. Their secondary structure includes four short double-helical elements and three loops (D, anti-codon, and T loops).
Source: RNAcentral